Molecule: unclassified non-coding RNA, 463 nt
Filed under: soil metagenome
Description: partial internal transcribed spacer 1
Source: RNAcentral
UCGAAGCUAGCGCUAGCACAGUGCAACGCUAAACACAUUGCCCCCCCUCGCUUGAGGGAAAGCGUCGAUCGCACAUCGCCCGGGGUGAAACCCAAAUGAUGUCGACGGUCGAUGCGGCGACGGACCGAUUCCUGCGCUCGGGAUCGAUGCGUCGUUUAACUGGUGUUCAUGUUCGGGUGCAUCGGUCUCAAGGCUUGAAGUGUCGUCGCUCUCGGCGAUCGCCCGAGUGUUUUUCUUUCGCGACGUAAGCGUCGAUGGGUACCUGUCCCGGCGGCGGCGACUUGGUCGUUGCCGUCGGGUGGAGCAGCCGCCUUUGCCAGGUUUGAAGAAUCGACCGAGAUCGAUCGCCCUAGCUUACGCCGCAAACCGUUACUCUCACUACCGUUUCACAUUAUACGCGAUUGAAAUGCUUGACGUCUUCCGGUCGAUGCCUUCCGGGAGCGUUAUGGCGAAAAUAAAUCGA